This 440-nucleotide ribosomal RNA is filed under the name uncultured Janthinobacterium sp. Its description in RNAcentral is "bacterial SSU rRNA". It matches the Rfam family "Bacterial small subunit ribosomal RNA", at positions 358 to 790 of the family's 1533-position model. The record is from RNAcentral. Lineage: Bacteria; Pseudomonadati; Pseudomonadota; Betaproteobacteria; Burkholderiales; Oxalobacteraceae.
GGAAUUUUGGACAAUGGGCGCAAGCCUGAUCCAGCAAUGCCGCGUGAGUGAAGAAGGCCUUCGGGUUGUAAAGCUCUUUUGUCAGGGAAGAAACGGUGGAGGCUAAUAUCCUCUGCUAAUGACGGUACCUGAAGAAUAAGCACCGGCUAACUACGUGCCAGCAGCCGCGGUAAUACGUAGGGUGCAAGCGUUAAUCGGAAUUACUGGGCGUAAAGCGUGCGCAGGCGGUUUUGUAAGUCUGAUGUGAAAUCCCCGGGCUCAACCUGGGAAUUGCAUUGGAGACUGCAAGGCUAGAAUCUGGCAGAGGGGGGUAGAAUUCCACGUGUAGCAGUGAAAUGCGUAGAUAUGUGGAGGAACACCGAUGGCGAAGGCAGCCCCCUGGGUCAAGAUUGACGCUCAUGCACGAAAGCGUGGGGAGCAAACAGGAUUAGAUACCCUUG